GGCUCGUUGGUCUAAGGUAUGAUUCUCCGCUUCGGGUGUGAGAGGUCCCAGGUUCAAAUCCUGGACGAGCCC
Molecule: transfer RNA, 72 nt
Filed under: Merluccius polli (Benguela hake)
Lineage: Eukaryota; Metazoa; Chordata; Actinopteri; Gadiformes; Merlucciidae
Rfam family: tRNA
About the family: Transfer RNA (tRNA) molecules are approximately 80 nucleotides in length.
Source: Rfam by way of RNAcentral